GGAAGGGGUGUAUUUAUUAGAUAAAAAACCAAUGCCCUUCGGGGCUCCUUGGUGAAUCAUAAUAACUUAACGAAUCGCAUGGCCUUGCGCCGGCGAUGGUUCAUUCAAAUUUCUGCCCUAUCAACUUUCGAUGGUAGGAUAGUGGCCUACCAUGGUGGCAACGGGUAACGGGGAAUUAGGGUUCGAUUCCGGAGAGGGAGCCUGAGAAACGGCUACCACAUCCAAGGAAGGCAGCAGGCGCGCAAAUUACCCAAUCCCGACACGGGGAGGUAGUGACAAUAAAUACUGAUACGGGGCUCUUUUGGGUCUCGUAAUUGGAAUGAGUACAAUCUAAAUCCCUUAACGAGGAACAAUUGGAGGGCAAGUCUGGUGCCAGCAGCCGCGGUAAUUCCAGCUCCAAUAGCGUAUAUUAAAGUUGUCGCAGUUAAAAAGCUCGUAGUUGAACCUUGGGUCUGGCUGGCCGGUCCGCCUCACCGCGAGUACUGGUCCGGCUGGACCUUUCCUUCUGGGGAAUCUCAUGGCCUUCACUGGCUGUGGGGGGAACCAGGACUUUUAC
This 556-nucleotide ribosomal RNA is filed under the name uncultured Aspergillus. Its description in RNAcentral is "SSU rRNA". It matches the Rfam family "Eukaryotic small subunit ribosomal RNA", at positions 194 to 755 of the family's 1831-position model. The record is from RNAcentral. Lineage: Eukaryota; Fungi; Ascomycota; Eurotiomycetes; Eurotiales; Aspergillaceae.